RNA transcript from Rhinopithecus roxellana (golden snub-nosed monkey), 2382 nucleotides. It is a transcript of the gene named growth hormone-inducible transmembrane protein pseudogene, with no coding region annotated. The record is from RefSeq and is a predicted model, not a curated record. The transcript has a single exon. NCBI's taxonomy places the organism in Eukaryota, Metazoa, Chordata, Mammalia, Primates, Cercopithecidae.
CCCUGGCCUGGAGGCUCUUUUGGGAAGGAACCAACAGUGAUGGCCUUUCCUAGAAGCAGAUGCAGGAAAAAUGCUGUGCGGAUGCCUUAUACCAGUCAAUCUUAACAAGAACUGGGCUACCUCGUCCACUGGCUAGACCCUGCAAGGAGUCUUUGGGCUUGUAAGUAUAGCAGAGGAUGGACAUCCUAUGAACUCAGCAGGGUUUGGCUGUAGCACGGCAACCUUCUAUCUCCUGGAGCCCAUGACCAGGCUGGAACCUACCUAUGCUUUCACCCUUGGGUGUGCCUGGCUCUAACCAGGUCCUGGAACAAUAGGACCACAGGAUGGUGCAAGACUUGUCUUGGAAAAAAACACCUAAGAUGCUUAAUUAGAACAAUUCCUUUAUUUGAAAACUGCUGGUAUGAAUUUCCUCCUUCCCUCAAUUAGGCCAGAAACCCAUCAUGGGGCGGGCACAGCCUCUACACGAGGAAGCCCCAGCUUGCGGGGGCUAGGAUGGAGCAGCCAUGAGAGACACCUAGCCAAAUGUCCAUUUUCCCAUCAUAAACAAUGGAGUGGGGGUCAGGGGGAGAACACAGUGGUAAGUGAAUGGCCAGAAACUCUAGAGGGGGCCUGACACCCACCUGGUGAGGUACCUCCGUGCCCCAGCCCCACUGAGGACUCAGGCCCCUUGCUUGGAUCAUGCUGCCCCAUCGGGUGCUGCCCCUGCCCUCUUCCUCUGAGUUCUAACAACACAGACACCAGCGCCUGAAAGCCCUGCCGCUGCCAGGGAGUUAGAAUUCUGGCUGCCUCUACUUGGGAAUCUCCUUCCAUGUGUGGAUCUGCAGAACAUCCAGAUGGGGCCAUCCCACCUCAUGAUCCAUUCACUCCCAGUGGGAUACACUGGAACUCAACCUUGGAGACUGGAGCCCAACAGAUUAAGGCAGAAUUCUCCUUGCUUUGGAGGCAGGUCUGCAGGGAGGGGGUGAAGUCUAGCUGCCCCUCAUGUCCCAUCCCAGUGAGGGUACUGGUUUUCCACAGCUAAGCCCAGGAGCUUCCUAUAUCCCGUCUGCUGAGACAGCAAGGGGUGUGGCCCGGCCAGCCUCCUGACAUGGUUUCCACUGACCUCUGAAAGCCCCUGCAGCUCAGCCUUUAAACCUCCAUUCCCGGAAGGGAAACUACGCGGCAAAGGUGACCGGGGACCGAGCAUUUCAGAUCUGCUUGGUAGACCUGGUGCACCACCACCAUGUUGGCUGCAAGGCUUGUGUGUCUCCGGACACUACCUUCUAGGGUUUUCCACCCAGCUUUCACCAAGGCCUCCCCUGUUGUGAAGAAUUCCAUCAUGAAGAAUCAACGGCUGUUAACACCCAGCAGGGAAUAUGCCACCAAAACAAGAAUUGGGAUCCGGCGUGGGAGAACUGGUCAAGAACUCAAAGAGGCAGCAUUUGAACCAUUGAUGGAAAAAAUAUUUAAAAUUGAUCAGAUGGGAAGAUGGUUUGUUGCUGGAGGGGCUGCUGUUGGUCUUGGAGCAUUGUGCUACUAUGGGUUGGGACUGUUAAUGAGAUUGGAGCUAUUGAAAAGGCUGUAAUUUGGCCUCAGUAUGUGAAGGACAGAAUUCAUUCCACCUGUAUGUACUUAGCAGGGAGUAUUGGUUUAACAGCUUUGUCUGCCAUAGCAAUAAGCAGAUCGCCUGUUCUCAUGAACUUCAUGAUGAGAGGCUCUUUGGUGACAAUUGGUAUGACCUUUGCAGCCAUGGUUGGAGCUGGAAUGCUGGUACAAUCAAUACCAUAUGACCAGAGCCCAGGCCCAAAGCAUCUUGCCUGGUUGCUACAUUCUGGUGUGAUGGGUGUAGUGGUGGCUCUUCUGACAAUAUUAGUGGGUCCUCUUCUCAUCAGAGCUGCAUGGUACACAGCUGGCAUUGUGGGAGGCCUCUCCACUGUGGCCAUGUGUGCGCCCAGUGAAAAGUUUCUGGACAUGGGUGCGCCCCUGGGAGUGGGCCUGGGUUUCGUCUUUGUGUCCUCACUGGGAUCUAUGUUUCUUCCACCUACCACUGUGGCUGGUGCCACUCUUUACUCAGUGGCAAUGUAUGGUGGAUUAGUUCUUUUCAGCAUGUUCCUCUUGUAUGAUACCCAGAAAGUAAUCAAGUGUGCAGAAGUGUCACCAGCAUAUGGAGUUCAAAAAUAUGAUCCCAUUAACUUGAUGCUGAAUAUCUACAUGGAUACAUUAAAUAUAUUUAAACGAGUUGCAACUAUGCUAGCAACUGGAAGCAACAGAAAGAAAUGAAGUGACUCAGCGUCUGGCUUCUCUGCUACAUCAAACAUCUUGCUUGUUUAAUGGGGCAGAUAUGCAUUAAAUAGUUUGUACAAGCAAAAAAAAAAAAAACCUCCAUCCAUCUCGGAGUUCAGA